GUGUCAGCAGCCGCGGUAAAACCAGCACCUCAAGUGGUCAGGAGGAUUAUUGGGCCUAAAGCAUCCGUAGCCUGCUUUGUAAGUUUCCGGUUAAAUCCAUUAGCUCAACUGAUGGGCCGCCGGAAAAACUGCAAAGCUAGGGAGUGGGAGAGGUAGACGGUACUCGGUAGGAAGGGGUAAAAUCCUUUGAUCUAUUGAUGACCACCAGUGGCGAAGGCGGUCUACCAGAACACGUUCGACGGUGAGGGAUGAAAGCUGGGGGAGCAAACCGGAUUAGAUACCCGGGUAGUCCCAGCUGUAAACGAUGCAGACUCGGUGAUGCCCUGGCUUGUGGCCAGUGCAGUGCCGCAGGGAAGCCGUUAAGUUUGCCGCCUGGAAGUACGUACGCAAGUAUGAAACUUAAAGGAAUUGGCGGGGGAGCACCACAAGGGGUGAAGCCUGCGGUUCAAUUGGAGUCAACGCCAGAAAUCUUACCCGAAGAGACAGCAGAAUGAAGGUCAAGCUGGAGACUUUACCAGACAAGCUGAGAAGUGGUGCAUGGCCGUCGCCAGCUCGUGCCGUGAGAUGUCCUGUUAAGUCAGGUAACGAGCGAGAUCCCUGCCUCUAGUUGCCACCAUUACUCUCAGGAGUAGUGGGGCGAAUUAGCGGGACCGCCGCAGUUAAUGCGGAGGAAGGAAGGGGCCACGGCAGGUCAGUAUGCCCUGAAACUUUGGGGCCACACGCGGGCUGCAAUGAUAGUGACAAUGAGUUCCUAAACCGAAAGGUGGAGGCAAUCUUCAAACGCUAUCACAGUUAUGAUUGAGGGCUGCAACUCGCCCUCAUGAAUAUGGAAUCCCUAGUAACUGCGUGUCAUUACCGCGCGGUGAAUACGUCCCUGCUCCUUGCACACACCGCCCGUC
This 899-nucleotide ribosomal RNA is filed under the name uncultured archaeon. RNAcentral's name for it is "bacterial SSU rRNA". It matches the Rfam family "Archaeal small subunit ribosomal RNA", at positions 455 to 1354 of the family's 1478-position model. The record is from RNAcentral.